Molecule: long non-coding RNA, 2512 nt
Filed under: Gossypium barbadense (sea-island cotton)
Lineage: Eukaryota; Viridiplantae; Streptophyta; Magnoliopsida; Malvales; Malvaceae
Description: long non-coding RNA (GBAR_LNC014762)
Source: RNAcentral
UUCUGUUUGGUAAUGCCUCGUAACCCUAAUUCGACGAUAGAUACGGGUAAGGGGUGUUACACUGACAUGCUCUUAUUAGCAAAGAAAGAGAAAAGUAACAAUCAUAAAGCAAAGACAAUACACGUUCUCGAGCAAAUUGAAAAAAAAAAUUAAAGAUAACCAGAUCCUUUCCUCUUCUCUGCCCUAGGGACCUCUCCAUACCAGUACGAAAUCUCAUACUGCAAAUUAAAACGAUGGACCAAAUCAAAUAUGAGAUAAUCACUCCUCUGUUAGGGAAUGAAUAAGACCUUCUAGCUCCUCAAGACAUUGUUUCGUGACACUCAGCAGGAUGAUGGAUGUUCUACCUUUCUGUCUUCGCAACCUCAUGAACCAUGUCGAAGCUUCUUUAAUCCACCAGACAUCCCAUUUUUGCCGAAAUUCUUCCUUGAUCAGUAGGUGGGCUACUCGAUUUCCCCUCUCUUUAAAAAUGGUAUUUGGACCAAUAAGUGUUUGGAAGAAGUGGAAGUGAAUCUCUUCUCACAACAAAUUUAAGUCUUGGAGUCGACAUCAUUAGUAGGACUUCAACUGAAUAUCAUUCUGGCCCAAACAGAACUAAGUUAAGACUGUAAACUAAAUAACAACAACAACAACAACAACAACAACAACAACAACAAUAAUAAUUGUAACACCCCAAACCCGACCUAGACGUUAUGGCCAGAUUUGGAGAUGUUACUGCAAGUUUAUUCUAAAACCCAAAAUUCAUUGAUUUUGAAAAGGCGUUAUUAGCUUUUGUUACACAAAAAUCCGGUUUAUUUGAAAACACAACCUUAUUUUUUGUUUUGUGACACGUUGUUUGUUUACAUUUUCCAAAAAUGUAUAGCUUUGCCGCGGAAGUUCUUAGAAAGUUAAAUUAUGGAAAAAAAAACUAGUUCGUUAUUUUGAAAUCCUUUGUUUUGCAGAAAAAUAAACAUUGUCGAUAAAACGUUUAAAUGGAUCAUGCGGAAAUCGAAAUUAAAGUCCAAAACCGAAACAAUCCAAAAUGUCCAAAUAGUACAAAAUUUAGAAAACUCUCAAACCCAAAUUUAAAUAAAUUAAAUUUACAAAAUAUUGUUAUGACCGAGCUCUCAUCGCACUGACCCGCCUAAGUCUGAGGGUUACCUGAAAGUGAUAGACAAAUAGAAAGUGAGUUUUUGAAACUUAGUGUGCAACAUAUAGUACAUAAAUCAAACAAAUGUAUUUAUAGGUAUAUAGAUCAGAAACAAAACUUAUCAAAACAUAACAGAUGCAGAAACAAAUAAUCCUACCCUUAUCUGCUACACACCAUUUCUGACCAUCCCAACACACCAUAUAAGGUAUUAUACCCAUCCAGCCUUACACAUCGCUUAGUGUCGGUUUGACACUUUUUAGAAUAUUUGCAGUAGAGUUGUAUUAGACAGUUUAUCACCGUUUACGAAAACAUAUAUAUGUGGCUGAACCACCAAAUACGGCAAGUUUAAUAUUGCCCGCACUUCCUUCAUAUAUCAAAUCCCAACCCAGAUGUAGAUGCAAUACUAACAGAUAUCAGAUAUGUUUACGAUGUAAAUGCUUACCAUGACAGAUACAGAACAUAUUUAACGUUUUUCAGGCUAAACAUGACAUAUUAUAGGUUUUACCUAACUCAUAUCACUUCAACAUACAUAUUUAUAUCCAAUUUUACAAUAACAGAUGAUCAGAAUUCCUGUUUCAGAGCUUAUUUAAUAGGAUACCGACCCUACAGAAGGCCUACGUUCGAUCCAAAUGAUGUUUACGACCUUAGGGGAAAAAAAUAGAAUUUUAGGCCCAUGUGGCUUGGCACACGACUUCACACACACCAGUGUGGCCCAUACGGCCCUAAUAGCCCAGACCGCACGGCCGUGUGAUGUCAAAUGUGCAAUUUUUCGGCUUUCGCUGUUUGCUAAUUUUCGUGUUUUUCAUUACACACAUAAUUCGAUUUCGAUACCAAAGCAACUACGAGACUCUCAGAACCUAAAAAUAGGAUUCAAUUGACUAGAUUAGCGAUGAUUCACGAAUAUAAAUUAAAUAAAUAUUGAACACAGUGCCCACAAUCGACCCCAAAACAUAUUCGAAUCCUUACCAAUGAACGAACAACAACCACGUGACUUUAGUUGUUGGAGGGACGCUAAUCAUCUCACAAUCUUCUCCUAAAAUGAUUUAAUUUAAUUAGAUAACACACAAUAGGGAUUUUCACUACAAUCUCGAAAUCUCAAUAAUCCCCAACACCUAACGAAGAAUUUUAGUAUAAGAACAGAAAAGACCAAUGAAACCUUAUCUUCACGGAUUGAAAACCAAAUAAAAAGAACCCUGAACAGAUUGUGAAUACUUGCAAAAUUAAAAGAUGGAACGCUAGGAUUGAAUGCACAAAAGAAAGGAAAGAAACAAGAACAAACGUGAAAGGCCCAUGGAGAAACAAAAUUGAACCAAAAAAAUUGAAACAAAUCGCAAUAGCAGGGAGAGGGAAAAAUAACGGUGUAAAGAAAAAAAAUGGGAAAAAAAA